Molecule: ribosomal RNA, 599 nt
Filed under: uncultured bacterium
Lineage: Bacteria
Description: bacterial SSU rRNA
Rfam family: Bacterial small subunit ribosomal RNA
Source: RNAcentral
CCCUUUGGAAAGGAAUAGCCUCGGGAAACUGGGAGUAAUGCCUUAUAAGAUACGUUUGUCGCAUGGCAUUUGUAUUAAACGCUCCGGCGCCAUAGGAUGGACCCGCGUCCCAUUAGCUAGUUGGUGAGAUAACAGCUCACCAAGGCCACGAUGGGUAACCGGUCUGAGAGGGCGAACGGUCACACUAGAACUGAGACACGGUCCAGACUCCUACGGGAGGCAGCAGUGGGGGAUAUUGCGCAAUGGGGGCAACCCUGACGCAGCAAUACCGCGUGAGUGAAGAAGGUUUUCGGAUCGUAAAGCUCUGUUAUUGGGGAAGAAAAAAAGACGGUACCCAAGAAGAAAGUUCCGGCUAACUACGUGCCAGCAGCCGCGGUAAUACGUAGGGAACAAGCGUUGUCCGGAUUUACUGGGCGUAAAGGGCACGCAGGCGGUUUUUUAAGUCAGAUGUGAAAGGCCACAGCUCAACUGUGGACAUGUAUUUGAAACUGAAAGACUUGAGUAUUGGAGAGGCUAGUGGAAUUCCUAGUGUAGCGGUGAAAUGCGUAGAUAUUAGGAGGAACACCGGUGGCGAAGGCGGCUUGCUGGACAAAUACUGA